Molecule: ribosomal RNA, 22 nt
Filed under: Bartonella clarridgeiae
Lineage: Bacteria; Pseudomonadati; Pseudomonadota; Alphaproteobacteria; Hyphomicrobiales; Bartonellaceae
Also listed under: 3 other names
Description: partial 23S rRNA
Source: RNAcentral
AUCAAGUGUCUUAAGGGCAUUU